GUAGGUGGCAAGCGUUGUCCGGAAUUAUUGGGCGUAAAGCGCGCGCAGGCGGGGUCCUUUAAGUCUGAUGUGAAAGCCCACGGGCUCAACCGUGGAGGGUCAUUGGAAACUGGGGGACUUGAGUACAGAGGAGGAAAGCGGAAUUCCAAGUGUAGCGGUGAAAUGCGUAGAGAUUUGGAGGAACACCAGUGGCGAAGGCGGCUUUCUGGUCUGUAACUGACGCUGAGGCGCGAAAGCGUGGGGAGCAAACAGGAUUAGAUACCCUGGUAGUCCACGCCGUAAACGAUGAGUGCUAAGUGUUAGGGGGUUUCCGCCCCUUAGUGCUGCAGCUAACGCAUUAAGCACUCCGCCUGGGGAGUACGGCCGCAAAGGCUG
RNAcentral lists this ribosomal RNA (375 nucleotides) under uncultured organism. Its description in RNAcentral is "partial 16S ribosomal RNA". It matches the Rfam family "Bacterial small subunit ribosomal RNA", at positions 527 to 896 of the family's 1533-position model. The record is from RNAcentral.